AGAAAACACUGCAUCAUGAUCAUCUUCUUGUGUUUAAUCUUUAGACUUGUACAGGUUUCAGGGUCUUCUCACAUUGACAAAGUCCACCAGACUCCUGCUGAAUCUUUCUACACAUCUGAAGAAACAGCUGCCAAAAUCAAUUGUGUCCAUCAUAUCCAGGACUAUAACCGAAUCUUUUGGUACAAGCAAUCAAAGAACAAUGAGCUGCAGCUCCUGGGAUACAUGAAUGUCGAUAAAGACUAUCCAGAGAGUGGAGUAAAUGUGACGAUGACUGGGCGUUCAACUAAAGGCGAGACCUGCAUAUUAACAAUUAAAGGACUCAACCUAAAUAGCAGUGCAGUGUAUUUCUUAUUUUGCACUGUGACCAACACACAACCUGCUUACUUUGGCCAAGGAACCAAACUCACAGUUUUAGCAUCAGGGCGUGAUGUCACUGCACCAAAAGAAGUAAAAAUACUGGGACCUUCAGAACAUGAGUGCAGAAACAGCAAAGACAAAAAAAGGAAGAAGACCCUCGUCUGUGUGGCCUCUGGUUUCUACCCUGACCAUGUCAAAGUGUAUUGGCAUAUGAACGAGAAAAAUGUCACUAAUGGUGUGGCGACAGAUGAAGCUGCGCGUGAAGAAAUAAAUGAGAAAAACGAGGUUGUGUACAAAAUCACCAGCAGGCUGAGAGUCUAUGCCAAACAAUGGGAAAAUCCUAAAAAUACCUUUAAAUGCAUUGUCGGAUUCAUCACUGCCAAUGGCACAGAAACUCCAUUUCCUUCAAAACCUAUUAGAGGAGUUCAGGCUGAUACAAAGUCUAUGUCAAGAGAGAAGUAUUUGACAACUACACAAAAUUUCAAGGUCGUCUACAGCGUGCUUACUGUCAAGAGCUGUGCCUAUGGAGCUUUUGUUGGAUUUUUGGUGUGGAAGCUUCAGCGUUUUGGUGGAAAGCAGAAGUACUGAGAGCUGAGCUGAAGCCUCAAAAAAUAACUCUGGGACAUGAGUUACCUUGCUCUCUGUAAAUAUCGUUCACAAACAUAGUCUAUUGUUAAAGUGCACAAUGUUAAUCGCCUGUUCAAGUUCUGCUGUGGAUUUUUAUUUGCUUAUUUGUCUUUAUAUAAUUAAUAACUGCCUUUCAAAUAGACUGAUGUCAAUUUCUUUAGAUACAAAGUGAUUUUCUGUGUGUAACUUGAUUUUCUUCUCAAUAAAAAUAUGUUUGAGUAUUUUAAA
This is a non-coding RNA of Oreochromis aureus, 1212 nucleotides long. Lineage: Eukaryota; Metazoa; Chordata; Actinopteri; Cichliformes; Cichlidae. The record is from the annotation of a RefSeq genome assembly.